Molecule: long non-coding RNA, 612 nt
Organism: Acanthochromis polyacanthus (spiny chromis)
Lineage: Eukaryota; Metazoa; Chordata; Actinopteri; Pomacentridae
Exons: 3
Source: RefSeq, a predicted model, not a curated record
UAGGCUUCUUAUCCUGCUAUGUUUCCAUAUGUUGGUUUUAAAGCUGUUUUAGUUCUUGAGUGCUCAGCUAAAGUCUAACAAAACACCCCUGAUAUCCUCUGACUGAACGGUCGUUGCUAACUUCUUUGCAGCAUUUCCUGUUUACAAAUCCUGCAGAGGUCUUUACAGUCAGCUAAUAUGAUCAGAAUUGCAUCUGAUCAUAUUUGGUCUGUUUCCUAAAGGUCAAGAUGACGUCCUCAGAUAUCCUGUUUUGUCCACAAUCCAAAGAGUUUACUGUCACAGAGGAGGAUAGAAGAAAGAAAAUAUACACUGCCUGGCCAAAAAAAAUCUCCACCUGCAUUUAACUGAGCAAACAGACUGCGUUUUCUUACCGCCAUGGCUCUGGUGAAGCCGACCACGCCGCUCUUGGUGGCCGUGUACACCGGACAGCUGGGCAAAGGACCGAGACCUGCAGGAUAAGAGAAAACACAUGCAGGGCUUUACCUGCCAUAGACGCUGUGUUGACGAUGACUCCUCCUCGACCUCCACUCAGCUUACUCAUGUGCUCCAGAGCCAGGUACGUCCCCCUGAUAACACCCAUCUACAAUACAGUUUGUAUGGGUGCUUCUGUCA